RNAcentral lists this ribosomal RNA (274 nucleotides) under uncultured bacterium. RNAcentral's name for it is "partial 16S ribosomal RNA". It matches the Rfam family "Bacterial small subunit ribosomal RNA", at positions 523 to 796 of the family's 1533-position model. The record is from RNAcentral.
AUACGGAGGGUGCGAGCGUUAAUCGGAAUUACUGGGCGUAAAGCGCGCGUAGGCGGUUUAGUAAGUCGGAUGUGAAAGCCCUGGGCUCAACCUGGGAAUUGCAUUCGAUACUGCUGGACUAGAGUAUGGUAGAGGGAAGUGGAAUUUCCGGUGUAGCGGUGAAAUGCGUAGAUAUCCGAAGGAACACCAGUGGCGAAGGCGACUUCCUGGGCCAAUACUGACGCUGAGGUGCGAAAGCGUGGGGAGCAAACAGGAUUAGAAACCCGGGUAGUCC